RNAcentral lists this transfer RNA (65 nucleotides) under Evacanthus danmainus. RNAcentral's name for it is "tRNA-Asn". The record is from RNAcentral. Lineage: Eukaryota; Metazoa; Arthropoda; Insecta; Hemiptera; Cicadellidae.
UUAAUUGAAGCCAAAUAGAGGCAUUUUAUUGUUAAUAAAAAAAUUGAAUAUAGUUUCCAAUUAAA